CCUACGGGAGGCAGCAGUCGAGAAUCAUUCACAAUGGGGGAAACCCUGAUGGUGCGACGCCGCGUGGGGGAAUGAAGGUCUUCGGAUUGUAAACCCCUGUCAUGUGGGAGCAAAUUAAAAAGAUAGUACCACAAGAGGAAGAGACGGCUAAAUCUGUGCCAGCAGCCGCGGUAAUACAGAGGUCUCAAGCGUUGUUCGGAAUCACUGGGCGUAAAGGGUGCGUAGGCUGUUUCGUAAGUCGUGUGUGAAAUGCGCGGGCUCAACCCGCGGACGGCACAUGAUACUGGGAGACUAGAGUAAGGGAGGGGUAACCGGAAUUCUUGGUGUAGCAGUGAAAUGCGUAGAUAUCGAGAGGAACACUCGUGGCGAAGGCGGGUUCCUGGACAUUAACUGACGCUGAGGCACGAAGGCCAGGGUAGCGAAAGGGAUUAGAUACCCGAGUAGUC
RNAcentral lists this ribosomal RNA (446 nucleotides) under uncultured bacterium. RNAcentral describes it as "partial 16S ribosomal RNA". It matches the Rfam family "Bacterial small subunit ribosomal RNA", at positions 338 to 795 of the family's 1533-position model. The record is from RNAcentral.